AUAAACUUGUACAAAAGGCUAUAAGUUGAAAUACGAAUAGCCCUCAAUAAGGUACAAAAGGUAAUACUCUAAGGUGAAUGGUAAAAGUAGAUGAUUUAUAACAGAUAAUUCAUUAAUUUAGCAUCGAUCAAUAUGACUUGGAAACUGAUAUCAAUAUUAUGGUUAAUAGCAAUACUUUCAAAAACAGCCACUGCUUAUGUGUACAAGGGAAGCACAAACAACAUAGAAUCCAC
Copidosoma floridanum is the source of this 233-nucleotide long non-coding RNA. NCBI's taxonomy places the organism in Eukaryota, Metazoa, Arthropoda, Insecta, Hymenoptera, Encyrtidae. The record is from RefSeq and is a predicted model, not a curated record.